This is a long non-coding RNA of Populus euphratica (Euphrates poplar), 147 nucleotides long. RefSeq lists it as uncharacterized. The transcript is spliced from 3 exons. Lineage: Eukaryota; Viridiplantae; Streptophyta; Magnoliopsida; Malpighiales; Salicaceae. The record is from RefSeq and is a predicted model, not a curated record.
GUGAAUUCCCUGUGCUCAUUUAUGCUUGUUAGAGCAAUUAAGGAUUUUGGAUGUUUCACAAAAUCAGCUCUCUGGUCCACUACCCUCCUGUUUGGGCAAUCUUACUUUCAAGGUAAGUUCCCAGAAAGCAUUGGAAAAUCCUAAAAG